This is a long non-coding RNA of Homo sapiens (human), 1146 nucleotides long. Ensembl annotates it as testis expressed 41. Its record names the gene TEX41. The record is from Ensembl. NCBI's taxonomy places the organism in Eukaryota, Metazoa, Chordata, Mammalia, Primates, Hominidae.
GUAAACCUCAGGUUCUCCUCCUGCCUUUUGCUAAGUAUAUGUCUUGAUGACAAGCCUUCUGCUGAUGAGCUGUGUUUCUGGACCGAUCAUGGUAGAAGUCAAUUAACGUGUCCCUCACUUGGGGUUUCUCAAGGGAACUGAAAAUGAAAGAACCAAAAUAGAUAUCAACAGAUAAUUAAAGGAACGUUUGGAAGUUUUUUACCUCAUGCAAACCUCAAACUCUGAACCACUACUGCCUAAAGGAAAUAAAUACUGUGUUAUGACUUUGAAAAAGUGAAGUGGCCAUGUUAGGAGGCCCAGAUGGUAAGGAGCUGAGGGAGGCCUCCAGGAAAUGGCCAGCAAGAAGCCGGCUCCCUCAGCCUUGUAGCUACAAGAAAAUGAAUUCUGCCAGCAAUCUGAGUGAACUUGGAAGCUGAUUCUUCCUCUGUCAAGCCUCCAGAUGAGAAUCUCAGUCACAGCCAACACCUUGACUGCAGUCCUUAGCAGAGGACUCUGCCAAGCUGUGCCAGGACUCCUGACCUGCAGAAAUUGUGAGGCCUUUGUUUGGGUCACAGAAUAUCUUGAAUGCAGAGCUCACACAGGUUGUGAUAGGCUUUACUUCUAUCACUAACUGGAAACAAAGAAAAUCUACACUGAAGGAAACCUUUUCAAGUCGAACUUCUGUCAAGCAAUUGGAGGAGCAUGUGGUUUUGUGGUCAUGUGGAUUCGCUAUAUGGAAUAUGAUUGAAGGAUGAUUAUAAUUACAGAAAUUAUAGAGAUAUGACAGAGCAAGAUAUGGUCCCUGACUCAUGGAUCUUACAUUAGUAUUGGAAAGAAGCCUAUUAAACUCUCCAUCCUAUCAGCUUCAAUUUCAGCUAUUAGCUUUACUUUCUACUGUCUUUUUCAAGUCAAGAUCAAAUGGAGAGCAAAGGGAGUGCACCUUUCCUCUGCAGUUCCAUCACUGUUCAACAUAAUCAUCUCUACCUACAUUUCAGAACAAUUCUGAAUAUUAAUAAGACAAUGUCUAUGAGAUGAGCUCAUCUGGGAAAGCAUAAUAUAAGUGUAAGCCAUUAUAAUUUAUUGCUUCUCAAAUGUUAUAUAAGAUAUUCAACUGGAUAUGUUAUUAAUAAAAAAUUAUAAUAAAGAGAAAUUUAGAAUGAGAAAACA